RNAcentral lists this ribosomal RNA (638 nucleotides) under uncultured Lyngbya sp. RNAcentral describes it as "bacterial SSU rRNA". It matches the Rfam family "Bacterial small subunit ribosomal RNA", at positions 111 to 783 of the family's 1533-position model. The record is from RNAcentral. Lineage: Bacteria; Bacillati; Cyanobacteriota; Cyanophyceae; Oscillatoriales; Microcoleaceae.
UAACGCGUGAGAAUCUAGCUUCAGGUUCGGGACAACAGAGGGAAACCGCUGCUAAUACCGGAUAGGCCGAAAGGUAAAAGAUUAAUCGCCAGAAGAUGAUCUCGCGGCCGAUUAGCUAGUUGGUGGGGUUAUAGCCUACCAAGGCGACGAUCGGUAGCUGGUCUGAGAGGACGAUCAGCCACACUGGGACUGAGACACGGCCCAGACUCCUACGGGAGGCAGCAGUGGGGAAUUUUCCGCAAUGGGCGAAAGCCUGACGGAGCAAGACCGCGUGAGGGAGGAAGGCUCUUGGGUUGUAAACCUCUUUUAUCAGGGAAUAAUCAAUGAAGGUACCUGAGGAAUCAGCAUCGGCUAACUCCGUGCCAGCAGCCGCGGUAAUACGGAGGAUGCAAGCGUUAUCCGGAAUCAUUGGGCGUAAAGCGUCCGCAGGUGGUAGUUCAAGUCGAUUGUCAAAGGCAGUAGCUUAACUACUGACAGGCAGUGGAAACUGAAAGACUAGAGUGAGGUAGGGGUAGAGGGAAUUCCCGGUGUAGCGGUGAAAUGCGUAGAGAUCGGGAAGAACACCAGUGGCGAAAGCGCUCUGCUGGACCUUAACUGACACUGAGGGACGAAAGCUAGGGGAGCGAAUGGGAUUAGAU